RNAcentral lists this long non-coding RNA (379 nucleotides) under Corvus moneduloides (New Caledonian crow). RNAcentral's name for it is "lncRNA (ENSCMUG00000018402.1)". Lineage: Eukaryota; Metazoa; Chordata; Aves; Passeriformes; Corvidae. The record is from RNAcentral.
UGUUUUUAUUCCUCAACAGUAGCUACUGUUGAAGGCAGCAGGUAGGAGCUACCUGAAGUAUGGUAUGAUUGGAAAUUAUUGUUCCAGUGCCUUCAUAUGCCACAUUUGGUCUCUUUAUCCUCUCUGUCGUAGGUAACUAUCUUACAGACAGAGCAAGAAAAGUAAAUUCACUUGGCUGUUCCAUAUCUCUGAGGAACCUGAUGCAUGAGUGGACUAGAGAAGAGAAAGACAGAAAAACUCCAAAGACCUACAGAUCAUCUGGCUGGCAGGGCUCUCACAUCUCAGUCUUGAAUGUUUUCUGCAACUGUAAUUGGUAAGUUGAUGUACUUGAAGGGAGCUUCCCUACAAGUGGAGCUUUGGGCCUCAUUAUAAUUCCUUU